CACGUAGAGCGCAAGCGUUGUCCGGAAUUAUUGGGCGUAAAGAGCUCGUAGGCGGUCUGUUGCGUCCGCUGUGAAAACCCGGGGCUUAACCCUGGGCUGGCAGUGGAUACGGACAGACUAGAGGUAGGUAGGGGAGAAUGGAAUUCCCGGUGUAGCGGUGAAAUGCGCAGAUAUCGGGAGGAACACCGGUGGCGAAGGCGGUUCUCUGGGCCUUACCUGACGCUGAGGAGCGAAAGCGUGGGGAGCGAACAGG
RNAcentral lists this ribosomal RNA (253 nucleotides) under uncultured bacterium. RNAcentral's name for it is "partial 16S ribosomal RNA". It matches the Rfam family "Bacterial small subunit ribosomal RNA", at positions 524 to 776 of the family's 1533-position model. The record is from RNAcentral.